GGCACCUUGAUGUCGUGUUAUGUUGGCGAUUCAUGAGGUUCGGAUUCCAGGUCGAUUAUUUGUAUUCGUACACCUAGUACGAUGCAAACACAUCAUCGAUGCAUUUGUAAGUCUUCACAUCCGUACACGCACAGGGCCUGGAUCUGGUGCCAUACCAAACACAUUUACAAACGCCUGUUAAACACACCAGCUCACACAAACAGUGUUUUGAAGGAUGGAGCCGAACGAGAAGCAGAAUAGAAUAAGCGAACACAGGCGCACUAAAGGGGCGCCUGCACAGAGGCUGAGAACCUGUGGGCAAGGGUGCUGCCGGGGCAGACGCACAUGCACCCCACCAUCCGAAAAUUUCCCACAGCGGUUUAGCAGGAUGUGCCAUUGCCCUAGGACCUUUCGCAUAGCUCAUCCGCAUGCAGAUGCGCUCCUACCUAUGCGUCAUUCAUGCCACACGUAAAGUGGGAAGAAACGAGGCCACAUAGCCCUGCGUACCAAACCAAACAUGUGACUGGCGCACAUUAAAUCCGGCCCCGUCGUACACUAGCGCAGACGAGGCCGCCGCAUACAUUCUGACGUGAUAGGCUCCCCCACCUACGUCGGGGAAACACCACCCAUUCCUCACGUCAGGUCGUAGUAAUGUCCUAUGUUAUUAAACAACGAAUUGCCCCCGAGCAUGUACUACAUAUACUACAUUUAUUAAAUCUGUUAGUCUGCCAGGCACGCCGUGAAGCUGCUCGCCAGCUGUUUUCGGUCCAGGUGCCGCCCAAUGAAAACGAUGCGGUUCACUCACCUCUUUCCAUCCUACCGGCGGCUACGACAUGUUCAUCGUGGAGCUCUGCUUCAUUGUUAUGGAAGACUGUCUGGGGAUUCACCUCGCCCUUCACGUCCCCCUAGGCUCUGGCGUCGUUGCUCUUCCUCGGAAUUGAUCUGGUAUAUCAAGGCUAUGGAGCAGCUGCUCCAUAGUCAGCUGCAGCUCCAGCUUCAUCUGGAGCGUUCGGGCAAGCCUUCCUGAGACGACGCUUCUAAAUUCAAGAUGGCUCCACACUGCCAGUGACAGAAGUUCGUCGUGUUUCGCGUUUCACGUUUGUUGGUCUGAGGGCUUAUACUUCGCCCUUUGUGUGUUUGGAUUUCGUCGCCCUCGUCGGUCUGUGUGAACGGCUCGGCGUGCUUCGCGGGUCCGUCUCGUAUAGUAGGUAGCUGCGUUCCCGUCUCUCCGGGGGGAGCUCUCGUGCGUUCACUAGGGCUUCUGGGUACUGGUGGGGGACUGGGCGUUUUGCGUCUUGGAGGUCCGUUUUGCUUUUCUGGGGCGAAGGCUCGCAUCCGGUUUUGUCAGGUGGGAUUUUUCCUUGGUAAGGCUAUGCUUCGCCUUUCUUAUACGCCCGUCCUGGGCUUUUAUCGCCUGUUUCAGGUAUGUGUAAGUGCGCCCUGGCCUGACUAACAGGACACUGCAGUGUGCUGAUGCACUCGGGGUCAGCUGUAACAAACCGCGUACUGCUUUAAAGACCAG
This 1501-nucleotide long non-coding RNA is filed under the name Volvox carteri. RNAcentral describes it as "long non-coding RNA (VCAR_LNC001320)". The record is from RNAcentral. Lineage: Eukaryota; Viridiplantae; Chlorophyta; Chlorophyceae; Chlamydomonadales; Volvocaceae.